ACCUUGCAAUAUCGGGUUUACAAUGAUUCGUUCUGAUUAUUUACAUAUAGAUUAUCACAGUGCAAAAACGUUUUGGAAUCUCAAACAAUUAAGAAGAUGCGGGGUAAAUUUCAAUUAUGCAGUUUGGUUGCGAGUUUGGUCUUGUACAUCGUUGACCUGGGAACCGAUGUUUACGUCGCGAUUCAACACAAAAAAAAUGGUGACAUAUGGUAUUUUAGGCUCACAGCCUGUUUUGUUGGUACAUCUAUCAUCGUUGUGAAUAUUUUUGCAACGAUUGCUUUGAAAGCACCUUGGUACAUACGAACAUUGGCGUGUCUCACUCAUUCCUCCAUGAUCCUUCUGUUUAUUAGCGAAAUCCGGCGUUGGAAGAAAGAAGGUUGUGUAAGUAAUACUCAUCGUUGCAAAAGUGGAAAACAUUUUUCUGAAUGUGACUGCACUGGCUGCGAUUUACAACUCAAGAAGAGUGUUAAGGCUUCUCUGAAUAUGUCACACGUUCGUUCUCUGGAAACAUUUAUAGAAGCGGUGCCACAAUGGCUUCUUCAGGUAUACAUAAUGGUUUAUGAACAGUCCUUUCCUUGGUACACGAUCGUUUCAGUUGCAGUUUCAUUUAUAUCUUUGGUUUUCAGCAUUUUUGCGCUGGAGAAAAAUUAUUGGAUCCUGAAAAUUGUUCAAGGUGGCCAACACUACAUUCGGCCAGUAAGCUUUCCAAAAAGUUCAGCAGUUAUUUUUUUCUUUUGGCAAACGUUUCUUCUAUUUGGCAGACUCUCGGCAAUGAUCUUAAACACAAUUGUAGUUGAAUACUUGAUUUUUUCCAUUAUCGGUGCUCACUGGAUGGUUGUAGUUUUUGCUUUAAUAGGCUCUGUAAAAACUGCUUGUGUUGAGGGUGGACAUGAUGGUUUUACCUGUCGCAGAUACCUAAUCAUAUCUUUUUUGUCUCUUUUUAUAAUUUAUCCGUUGCUCUUUCAUGUUUCCCACUCGUCUGUCGCUUGUAUGAAAAAAGUUUUACCGGAUAAAAAUCUCGUAGCGACAAAAUUCGAAGGUAUUAUGGCAGUAAUAAUACCGAUUCUUUUCUUGGGAUCUUUUUGCUUCGGUUGUGUUAAUGCGAUCAAGUAUAACUGGAAAGAUGAAUUACUUGUAUGGUAUGUAGCAGUUGGAUCUUUGUAUGUUCUUGCAUUCGUCUUUGAGGUCAUGUUUUACUCGUGUUAUCAUCCACUUAAGGUAACGUACAGAAAUUGGCAGAAAUUAAAAGAUCAAGCAGACGUUAUAAACGUGGAACAAUGGACAUUUAAUGAAACAAAUGCUAAUACAAAAGUAAAUUGAAGCAACAGGAAAAUGAUAUCUACAACUUGGCAAACCAUGAUCAGAUUAACUUUUCAUCAAUGGGGACUCCAUUUUGAAUCUUGAUGCAUUCAUGGACAUUCCGUACAGUAAAAACCCGCAUAUAAGAACCUAGAAUUUAAAUACCUGUUUAUUUAGACCCCCGUCAAAAUUAAAUCAUAAGUUACAAUCAGUGUAGCUUUAAUGGAUCUAUUCCCUAAUAAACAAAAUUUUGAUCUAGAGAAGUCUAGACAAAUAUUUCACCACAGCUUGAAAGAGCACCACAAAAUUAAUAAUAUUCCGAAUUACAUAAGAACCUGUUUAGGCUAACUUAGAAAAUCUAGGUUCUUAUAUGCGGAGUUUUACUGUAUCAAGUGUAUGCUAUUGUCGUAGAUAUAUUCUUGAUAAAAAGAUGAAGUAUAGCUCAAAAUUUUGGGGAACUCUGCAUGUAUUAUUUUCCACGUAUAGCUCUGAGGAAGUUGAAAAUUAUACUGUUUGUUCCCUUCAAUUUAUUAUGUCCAAAGACUUAUCUGUUAUUUGCAACCAGAAACAAUUCAUCUAGGCCUAUGUAUUUGAACUUACAAAAACGUCGUGAAAGAGGUAACAUGGAAUCUGAAAUUUUCUAAAUUUUUUAAUGGGAUAUAUGGAUACAAGUAGUAGGAUUUUGUAAAUCAGUGGGUACGAAUGGCCAGGAGUCAGAAAAAACGUGGCUGGGAAAAUUUAAUCGAAACAACGCCCUGCUCCGUUUUGGACUUUGUGAACGCUAAAGACCACAAUGUCUUGCAAUUUCAACACGAGGACGCUAUCGAAGAAGAGUCAAUUGCAUAAUGACGUAAAUGUACAUAGUUAAGUUUAUCUAGUGAGAAAAAUUAACUCUGAAACUGUGAAGCAAGUUAUUUUGUAUUUUUCGAUGUUUGUCUAGUGACUAAUUCAAUUUUAAAAUGGAAAAUGUUUGUUUGAUGUGUAAAUGACUG
This 2291-nucleotide long non-coding RNA is filed under the name Paramuricea clavata. The record is from RNAcentral. Lineage: Eukaryota; Metazoa; Cnidaria; Anthozoa; Malacalcyonacea; Plexauridae.